UUCCCAAAAACAUAAAGUUUUGGUCCUAAACUUGCCAUUGUUUUUUAUCAAAAUUAUACAUGCAAGCCUCCACAAGCCAGUGAGAAUGCCCACAUACCCUAAACAGCCAACCGGAGCAGGCAUCAGGAUACAAUAAAUAUUUAGCCAAAGACGCCUUGCGCACGCCACACCCACACGGGACUUCAGCAGUAAUUAACCUUAAAAAUGAGCGAAAGCUCGAUUUAGUUAUGAUAAAUAUGGCCGGUAAAUUUCGUGCCAGCCACCGCGGUUAUACGAAAGGCCAAAAACAACAGCCGGCGGCGUAAAGCGUGACUAGAGAUAGCUAUCAAAUUAAAGGGGCACAACCGCCAAGUCGUAAAACACUACUGCACGUUAGAACUACAACUAAUACCUUUAAACACCUACUUUACCUCACGAAAACUAAGAAACAAACUGGGAUUAGAUACCCCACUAUGCUUAGCCCUAAACAUAGAUAGUAUAAACACAAACUAUCCGCCAGAGAACUACAAGCGAAAAGCUCGAAACUCCAAGGACUUGGCGGUGCUUCAAAUCAACCUAGAGGAGCCUGUCCUAUAAUCGAUACCCCGCGUUUUACCUUACCACUUUUAGCCAAUCAGCCUAUAUACCGCCGUCGUCAGCCUACCUUAUGAAAGAAAUAAAGUGAGCAAAAAAGUUAAUAACUAAUACGUCAGGUCAAGGUGUAGCACACGAAGUGGCAGAGAUGGGCUACAUUCUUUCAAAGAAAAAACACAAAUAGUAAACUGAAACACAUACUUGAAGGCGGAUUUAGUAGUAAGACAAGAAAUAAUACUUGUCUAAAACCUGCUCUGAAGCGCGCACACACCGCCCGUCACCCUCGUCACACGCUACACUACACAAAAAUAUUUCACUA
Molecule: non-coding RNA, 892 nt
Filed under: Hemiergis initialis (southwestern earless skink)
Lineage: Eukaryota; Metazoa; Chordata; Lepidosauria; Squamata; Scincidae
Description: partial 12S ribosomal RNA
Rfam family: Bacterial small subunit ribosomal RNA
Source: RNAcentral